This 253-nucleotide ribosomal RNA is filed under the name uncultured bacterium. RNAcentral describes it as "partial 16S ribosomal RNA". It matches the Rfam family "Bacterial small subunit ribosomal RNA", at positions 524 to 776 of the family's 1533-position model. The record is from RNAcentral.
UACGUAGGUGGCAAGCGUUGUCCGGAUUUACUGGGCGUAAAGCGCUCGCAGGCGGUUCCAUGCGUCGUGCGUGAAAGACCCCGGCUCAACUGGGGAGGGUCGUGCGAUACGGUGGGACUCGAGGCCAGUAGGGGGACGCGGAAUUCCGGGUGUAGUGGUGGAAUGCGUAGAGAUCCGGAGGAACACCAGCGGCGAAGGCGGCGUCCUGGACUGGUACUGACGCUCAGGAGCGAAAGCGUGGGGAGCGAUCCGG